CUGCGCAUCACCUUCAAAUUCACCAGAUGCAUAUUCCCGCAGCAGUCCUGACUCUUACGGCUUCCACAUGUCUUGUUUUUGCUAGCCACUGUGCGAGAUUAUCUGGCACCAGCGUCGUGUGGCUGAGCUCCUUUGUGGCAUUGCUGACCUUCUUGGCGCGGUUCCCACGCGCCCUUCGGUCGAAGGCAGCAGUGUGUGACACUCCUCGUCACAAAAGCCGCUUGCUCUCUGCUGGAGCAUGUGCACUUUUUUGUCUAAGCGCCACCUACGGGCUGGCCACACUCGGCGCUUUACGUUUCGCGUGUGCCUGCGCCUGCGCCGCUGGCGCCGAUCAUAUUGCUCGAACGCGAAGAAGCUCGCGAAAUGCAAAGAUGGCUUGUACGGCUCUCAGUUGCGUCAUCCUGGCUCUGACAUCCGAUCCAGGCCAAGAAACUCGCCCAUUCAUACUCUUUGGAGCGUUAGGGGUUCUUUGCGCGGCUUGUGCGAUUUCUCUCUCCACGAAAGACGUACUGAAAAAAGCUGAUCAAACAGCUUUUCUUUUGGCUGCUUGUGGUCUAAGUCUUGUGGGUUUCAUUGCAACACUUGUGCAGCACAAGCCGAUAGUCGAGAAUGAAAUGCUGCUGUUACUAGUGUUCUGUGUUUCCGGCAUUGUUUUGGCGGGCUGUGUCAAUGCAGGCCUGGUGUUGCAGGGGAACGCUUUCACUUUUGUGGCUGCGGCCGCUGGUAUGUCAGCUGGAUCAGUAGUUUGCGGUGAAAAAGUGUUUCCUGCUGUGUACGACUGGGAAAGCCUUGCUUUGCUAACCUCGGCCGGUCUUAUUUUUGCUGCGCACAAAGGUCUGACUUUUGCAGACUCGUCUGUAGCAUCACUGAGUGGUGUCUCCCUUAGCCCAACGCAGAUGCUGAAGACAAAGCAGCACCGCGAGGAAAGCGGCAUUAUUGUCAGCUUACUCUCUAAUUCAAGGGAGCGCAAGCUUUUUGUUUUUCUUUUGUUGACUGUUGGCAUAAUGCUUUUAGAGCUCAUUUACGGUCUUGCAGUGAAUUCUCUCGGACUGAUUUCAGAUUCAUUUCAUAUGAUGCUUGAUGGAGCGUCGAUUAUCAUUGGACUGUACGCGGCGCACGCUGCGUCGUGGCUACCAGACGAAAAAACGCAUCCCUUCGGCUACGGACGAUACGAAGUUUUCGGAGGAUUUGUAAAUGGCAUUCUUCUUCUUUUUAUUGCUUUGUAUGUGAUGGUUGAAUCCAUACAGCGAUUUCUGAACCCGCCCGAAAUCGAGGGACCGUACUUGCUUCUUGUUUCCGUGAUCGGGCUAGCCGUGAACGUGGUGGGCAUUAUCUUUUUUCACGAUUCGCAUGGUCAUAGUCACUCGCAUUCGCACGGGGAAGCUGGUAGUGGUCAUGUGGACCACAACAUGCGGGGUGUUUAUCUACAUAUUCUGGCGGAUUUGCUAGGUAGUGUUAGUGUAAUUAUUUCGAGUAUAUUGAUUUAUCUGUUUGGACUCUGGAUUGCGGAUCCAAUUUGUAGCGCUAUGAGCGCCAUCCUAGUUCUGCUCUCGGCGUUUCCGCUGCUCGAGGAAACGGGAAAAGUUCUUCUGCUAUCUGCACCGAAUCAUGAAAGCAACUAUUGCGAUAAAUUACGCGAAGCUUUACUUGCUACAUCUUUGUUGCAAGAUGUCGAAUCUCCAAAGCUAUGGAUACACUCGACUCCUCCGCGUGAACUCACAAUUUGUACUGUGGCAGGCAAACUACGCAAUAGUACCGAGUACACAAGCGCGCGAAAAAAGAUUACGGAAACAGUAACGGCUCAUAUGAUGCACCAUUUAGAUGUUCAUAAUGUUAGUUUUGUGUUGCACCUGGAGUAACGCAGUUGACUUUUUUAGCGUUACUUUAUUUCCCAGUAUGAGGCUGCGUAUUGUUUUCCCCUUUUGUUCUUGUUAGCAUUUUACUGUGCGCUCUAUUUAAAAUGAUUAUUUUUGCUCUCCCCCGAGAUAUGUGACUGGCUCAUGUCAUAUGUUUUAUGUGCUUUGAAAAUGCUCGGAAAGAAAAGCAGAGGGGGGAAAACGAGGAGGUUACAGAUUUGUUUGCGACCUCUGUUAUUGCCACCUUUUUUUUUUGACCGUUGGAUUUUCAUUUUACACACACCCACACGCACACACCCGCAAAAAAAAAAAUGAUUUAUGACUUGUCCUUAUCAGCAUUUUUUUUUCACUACCGUGACAAAAAAAAGGUCUCCCUAC
RNAcentral lists this unclassified non-coding RNA (2234 nucleotides) under Leishmania donovani. RNAcentral's name for it is "gene:LdHU3.27.1820(CDS-product:cation_transporter _putative)". The record is from RNAcentral. Lineage: Eukaryota; Euglenozoa; Kinetoplastea; Trypanosomatida; Trypanosomatidae.